GGAUAUCUAGGCUCCUAUAACGAUGAAGAACGCAGCGAAAUGCGAUACGUAAUGCGAAUUGCACAACCGCGAGUCAUCAAAUCUUUUGAACGCAAAUGGCGAUAGCGCGAGCUAUCAUGUUUGUUUCAGUGUAUUAGGUUAAUUACAUCACAUAUCUAAAAUGCGAUUGAAGUGAUUCUCUCGCUAAAUAUGUAGCUGUCUGACAUCAGCUCUUUAACCGAAGUAGUCACUAAACAGUGAUGUCGUGUUAAUUGAACUGUUUGUCAUAAAGGACGAGCUAACCAAAUACAUAUCCUUUAUAUAGUACCUGAAAUGAGCAAGAACACCCGCUGAACUUAAGCAUAUCAGUAAGCGGAGGAAAAGAAACUAACUAGGAUUACCUCAGUAGCGGCGAGUGAAGAGGUAACAGCCCAAGAUGUAAUCGGCCGUAAGGUUGAAAUUGUAAUCUAUAGGGACUCCUGGAAGAAACCUAUAGAGUC
Molecule: ribosomal RNA, 479 nt
Filed under: uncultured eukaryote
Lineage: Eukaryota
Description: eukaryotic LSU rRNA
Rfam family: Eukaryotic large subunit ribosomal RNA (bases 303-479)
Source: RNAcentral